AGUUAGCCCAGGGAGGAAGGGGACAGAAUGACAGCAUGGUUAUAUCAAUGGUCCAAUUCUUGGUUCCAACCCUUGAUUGUCCUUCGAGAGCACCACCCAUUCCUUACAACACAUCUCUCCGCUUCAUUUUGGGAGUUUUGAAGUUAUUAAAGUUAUUGAUUUCUUUUCCUUACAACCAAAAUAAUCUAAAUUAAGAUUGUGGCCAAGUUUGGAUUAAAACCUGCCUCCCGGCUCCAAGACCCAUGUUUUUCUAUCAUGCUGACUGGCAGCAAAGACGUCUUCCCAUGGAUUUUUCAGAACUCUGUUCUUUAAAUGUGACCUUAGAUGCACCAGACUCAUGCCAUCCAAAGGUUGGAGGUACUGCCCAGUUUUAGCAAUGAAAGUCCCACGUCACGGGAAACCUCUGAGUCCUGGACAAAUCAAGAUGACAUUUUCUAUGCAUAUGCAAGCAUGUCACCAGGAGCAGAGCACAGAGGGACAACACAGCUUUUGCGCUUCCAGCUGGCUCCCAUCAAGAAGUUAGAAGGGAGCCUGCAAACACAUUUCCUGCUAUCAUCUCUCCACCCCAGAAUGACUUUCCCUGGUAGAGCUGGGGGAGGGGAGGCGGGCAGCAGGCCCCCCAGGAGGCCCUGGGCAGGAAUAUUAAUACUCCAACUUCCCAGCACAAGAGGAGGGAGGAGGAGCGGCCACGGCGCAGUCCGGUCCUGGGGGCCCUGGAAGGUGGUUGCUGAGCAGCCCGUGGGAGGCACGGAUCCGCCAGCUCACGGCGGCAGGGGCCGCCCAAGUCCUAAUGAAAACACCUAGCUCCUGGCAGGGCGCAGCCGACACAUCGCCCUGCCUUCUCGGCCACCUGGGAGAGGAUGGGCGCCGCACGCGGAUACCCAACCUGCCGGGUUGUGCUCGCAGUGACAUCGCUUUUCUCCCGGCAAGUGCAUCCAUCUCGCUGGGUCUGGAUAGAUAACACAAUCUCUCUGCCCACACCCCAUUUGCUGGGAGACAGCCUGGGCUUCUCCAUUUUUUAUGGGCUCACUUAGCUUGGAGGAAAUCCAGAGGUCAAAGCCGGCGCAGACGCUCCAGUCACCUUGCCCGUCCGGGCGCGCAGCCAUUCCGAAACGGGCUCACCCACGGGGCCCUAAAUUACGGCGAUUACACUGCAAUUCGCAGCGCGAUAUUACUUUGAUACACUACCUGCUGCAGCUUG
This is a long non-coding RNA of Homo sapiens (human), 1201 nucleotides long. RefSeq annotates it as long independently transcribed non-coding RNA 2520. NCBI's taxonomy places the organism in Eukaryota, Metazoa, Chordata, Mammalia, Primates, Hominidae. The record is from RefSeq and is marked validated. The transcript has 4 exons.